GGAAGGAGGAGGAGAAGGAGAGGAGGAGGAGAUGAGACCAAGGAGAAGAGGUGAAGGAAGAGAGGAGGACACAGAAAAGAGAAGAAAGAGGAGAGGAGGAGACGGAGAAGAGGAGGAGGAGCAGCAAAGGAGGAAGAAGAGGAAGAGGAGUAGAAGAGCAAGUGAGGAGGAGGAGGGGGGAGUAGGAGGAGAGGAGAAGGAGAGCAGGAGAAAAGUAGGAAGAAGAAGAGAGAAGAGAGAGAGGAGAGGAUGAGGAGGAGGAGGAGAGUAAGAGGAGGAAAUGAGGAAGAAAGAAGGACAGAAGGUGGAGAGGAGGAUGAGGGGAGGAGAGGAGGAAGAGGGGAGGAGAGGAGGAAGAGGGGAGGAGAGGAGGAGAAGGAAACGAGGAGGACGACGAGGCUGCACCACCCUUAUCAGGUUCCAGUUCUCGGUGCGCCCCGUUCUGCAAGACACUCUCCUGUGGUCAGCCCUGGCCUGCAGAGGAUUCCCGCGCUGGAUCUCUGAGGGAUGCUGGCGCCCUCUCUGCAGCACAUUCCUGAUGCCCUUGCUGACACAUGUGUCCUCUGGGUCCUCUCCUGAAACCUGAUCCUCCGGGGUGUCUUCUGGCCUCACCUCUUCUGUCCAGUUCCAGCAAGCUCACUUUGCUUAGCCUUUGAAUCCCUUCCUUCACUGUCUGCCGUGACAAUUCGGGCCUUUCACCGUCACUCAGGCCUGGACCAUCACUGUUGCCCAUCCCAUGCCAUCAACGGGUUUGCCCCAUCCCUUCGGCUCCCUACCAGGGCAUUCAGUUGUGUUGAGCAGCAGAGUGUCUCCAAGUCCCCACUGGUUGAGCUGCAUCCGGGUCCCAUCCCACAGGGGCCCCCCCUGGCCGCUGCAGGUGCAUGCUGAUCCUGCAGCUCCUCAAGGGUGUCAUCGCUUUCCCCCUUCCCAGACCCAGCACACCCUGCCUGCAUGGCGCUGUGCUGCACCUUCACUCUGGUCACGGGUCUGGCAGUCGGCUCACCAAUUCCUCCCGCUUCCCUGGGACUCGCCGGCUUUUAGCACUGCAAUUCACUCAGCAAACUGGGACUGUUGGUCACCCUACCUGGCAGCCAGUGAUAAGGUGAGGGCCACUCCUGGGAGGGAGGACACCUGUGGGGAAAAUUCUUGUGUUAUUUAUUUCUCCUUCAGGAUAGGGUGCCUGCAGCGCUUCAUGGGAGGGGGUGGGCUGAUGCUGCGGACUCAGAAGUUUCAAGGGCAUCUGGGGAGACCAGAUAUUCAGAGACCUUCUCCUAGAUGUGCCUGUUCCAUGUAUCAGGGACGCAGGUUUUCCCAACAGGGCUGGUGUCGUUGGCAUGACAGACCUGCCUUGGCUGAGCGUUCACCCGUCUUUGGAGUUCAGCCACCUUAGCAAGUCCUGGGUUUGUUCUUCAGACUUUGCUGCUCGCCCAUUGCCUGGAUCGGGGGCUACUUUGUAAACCACCAGGAAGACUCCAGUGUUUCUGCUUAAUUUUUAGAUGUUUGUUAAUUGCUCUUGGUCUCUCAUUAAUCCCCUGUGGGUCAUCCAGGAAACAUACUCACCACUGUCUGUUCUCUGAGUUUUCAUUUCCAGGCAUCCGCCCUGCCUGGAUCUCCUCACCUGCCAGGAACUUCCUCUCCACAAGCCGGCCAUCCCAGCAAAAGUUCUAACACCAAAGGUCUGGCAACUAGCCUGCCAUCUUGUGCCUGGAGCCGCCUGCGUGCCACCUACUCCCGAAGAUGGGAACCUUGUUGCCAGUUGGGCAGAUGCGGGGCAAUCCUGUACCAAGACCCCAUUUUACCACCUGCUUUCUCAGACCACUCUGGAACCCACUGUCUCAGAUUGUGUCCUCCAGGAAGCAGACCAUGAGAGGGAGUUGGCAGGGCCAAAGAUUUACUGGGGCUAACUAACACUCAGGAAAGGGAUAGGAAGGAAACAGGGCUGGAGAGCAGGUUGAGCCCGACCUGACAGUCUCGAGCAGCCCAACAGGGAGGUGUGGAGCAAGGGUUGCCCACUAGAGGGGCCUGCAUUGGGUACGGGUGAUGGGGUCCACAUGGUACCUGGCAUAUAGCAGGCUGUGCAAUCCAUAUUAACUGACUGGAUAAAUUAAUGCCCAGAAAAGGUGCCCUGGAGAAUGGGUGUGUGCUGAACACAAUAGGGAAGGGCCCAGCAUCUGCCUUGGCAUAGGCAGAACUGUGCUGUGCCCUGCAACAGGCCACCUGAGAGCUGCUUUGAUCUUGUGUGUGCAUUAGACGACUGCCAGGGGCAUGAAGGGGAUGUGCUUCCAGGGCAUUUGCUGGCAGGGCGUCUCGUGAUCUCUUGGUAUUGGUGUGAGCACAGCCUGGCAGGAGAGGGCAGAUCUCCGUGCAAAGUACGUCAGAAAGCAGAUGGAAGCCAGGCCCCCUCCUGAAAGAGGCUCCUUGAAGGUGGGCUGUGAUGAGAGUCAUGAUCAGUGAGUGGCUUCCAUGGCAGAAAGUUCUGUGUAGUUCUUGGGGGAUGUGAGUAUAAUUCUAACAUCUUUGUCAUCAGUGUUGACAUCUCUUGAUUGUAUCCUGUCAUUCCAUUUGAGAUCUUCCUGGUUCUGGCUGGCAUCCUCUGACAUCACUCCAGCAGAAGAAAGGGAAGGAACACGCUGCAUUACUGCGUGGUGAGUGCAGUAGUCUACCUUCGCCACAUGGCCUCCAUUGAUCCCUGAAAUGGGUGAGGGGCUUCUUGUUUCUGCUGGGCAGGAGUGGACUUUUUGGAUCUGAUCUGGGGCUGUACUCAUACCUUUGUGGCUGGGAGGGUUCGAUAUUUUUCAGCACUGUAUCCAAUAUCACCUGCACAGACACCUUAGGGGAUGGGGACUUGCUGUUGCCUGGCAGGGAUGAAAGUGCCAGCUCCCUAAUUGGCCACCUCCGACAGCACCAAGGUAGACAGGAGGGAUGUUACAGCUGAGCAAGCAUGUUACACUGAGCCCCCUAGUUGGCCUUUGCUGGCAUGUGUGGAAGUGGGGAUCAAACUAUAUUUCUGUGGCGUUAACUAGAGUAAAGCAGCUCACUGUCUAAAAGUUUUCUAUCUUGCUAAGUCACAACUUUCCUGGUCCUCUGGCUUUGGUCCUUCUUUC
RNAcentral lists this long non-coding RNA (3104 nucleotides) under Pan troglodytes (chimpanzee). Its description in RNAcentral is "long non-coding RNA NONPTRT018545". The record is from RNAcentral. Lineage: Eukaryota; Metazoa; Chordata; Mammalia; Primates; Hominidae.